CCACUGGAUAGCUCAGUUGGUUAGAGCAGCAGAUGUGCAAUCUGUUAGUCGCGGGUUCGAAUCCCGCUCCAUGCA
This 75-nucleotide transfer RNA is filed under the name Xanthomonas oryzae pv. oryzicola. RNAcentral describes it as "tRNA-Ala". The stretch from base 5 to 71 matches the Rfam family "tRNA". From Rfam's summary of the family: Transfer RNA (tRNA) molecules are approximately 80 nucleotides in length. Their secondary structure includes four short double-helical elements and three loops (D, anti-codon, and T loops). Further hydrogen bonds mediate the characteristic L-shaped molecular structure. tRNAs have two regions of fundamental functional importance: the anti-codon, which is responsible for specific mRNA codon recognition, and the 3' end, to which the tRNAs corresponding amino acid is attached (by aminoacyl-tRNA synthetases). tRNAs cope with the degeneracy of the genetic code in two manners: having more than one tRNA (with a specific anti-codon) for a particular amino acid; and 'wobble' base-pairing, i.e. permitting non-standard base-pairing at the 3rd anti-codon position. RNAcentral also lists the same sequence under 1 other name. The record is from RNAcentral. Lineage: Bacteria; Pseudomonadati; Pseudomonadota; Gammaproteobacteria; Lysobacterales; Lysobacteraceae.